This 117-nucleotide ribosomal RNA is filed under the name Texcoconibacillus texcoconensis. Lineage: Bacteria; Bacillati; Bacillota; Bacilli; Caryophanales; Bacillaceae. The record is from RNAcentral.
UCUGGUGGCGAUAGCGAAGAGGUCACACCCGUUCCCCUGCCGAACACGGAAGUUAAGCUCUUCAGCGCCGAUGGUAGUUGGGGGCUCUCCCCCUGUGAGAGUAGGACGUCGCCAGGC